UAAGCAAUCUGCCCAUCGGCCUGGGAUAACAGUUGGAAACGACUGCUAAUACCGGAUAGGUGAUGAAGAGGCAUCUCUUGAUCAUUAAAGUUGGGAUACAACACGGAUGGAUGAGCUUAUGGCGUAUUAGCUAGUAGGUGAGGUAACGGCUCACCUAGGCGAUGAUACGUAGCCGACCUGAGAGGGUGACCGGCCACAUUGGGACUGAGACACGGCCCAA
Molecule: ribosomal RNA, 220 nt
Filed under: uncultured bacterium
Lineage: Bacteria
Description: partial 16S ribosomal RNA
Rfam family: Bacterial small subunit ribosomal RNA
Source: RNAcentral